Molecule: transfer RNA, 72 nt
Filed under: Ovis aries (sheep)
Lineage: Eukaryota; Metazoa; Chordata; Mammalia; Artiodactyla; Bovidae
Rfam family: tRNA
About the family: Transfer RNA (tRNA) molecules are approximately 80 nucleotides in length. Their secondary structure includes four short double-helical elements and three loops (D, anti-codon, and T loops). Further hydrogen bonds mediate the characteristic L-shaped molecular structure. tRNAs have two regions of fundamental functional importance: the anti-codon, which is responsible for specific mRNA codon recognition, and the 3' end, to which the tRNAs corresponding amino acid is attached (by aminoacyl-tRNA synthetases). tRNAs cope with the degeneracy of the genetic code in two manners: having more than one tRNA (with a specific anti-codon) for a particular amino acid; and 'wobble' base-pairing, i.e. permitting non-standard base-pairing at the 3rd anti-codon position.
Source: Rfam by way of RNAcentral
UCCCUGGUGGCUCAGUGGUAAAGUAUCUGCCUGCCAAUGCAGGGGACCCGGGUUCAAUCCCCAGUGUGGGAA